Molecule: long non-coding RNA, 364 nt
Filed under: Phoenix dactylifera (date palm)
Lineage: Eukaryota; Viridiplantae; Streptophyta; Magnoliopsida; Arecales; Arecaceae
Description: long non-coding RNA (PDAC_LNC010405)
Source: RNAcentral
UGACGGGGCAAUCGAUAGUAUCACAUUUCCAGCCUGUGACGGAGCAAUCGAUGGUAUCACAUUUCCAGCCUGUGACGGGGCAAUCGAUGGUAUCACAUUUCCAGCCUGUGACGGGGCAAUCGAUAAUAUCACAUUUCCAGCCUGUGAUGGGGCAAUCAAUACUAACGAGAUAAGCCCAAAAUCCCUACUCAUUUAACCAAUUCACAUACACACAUCAAUUUCUUUUUCCAUCUUAUAUCCGGCCUAGACUAACCAUGGUCACAUUUCCGGCCUGUGACAGGGCAAUCAAUAUAACAUGGUUAGUCCAUACCACCAUAUUCAUAAAUUCAAUUAUGCAGGUAUAAGUUAUACACCUACAUACAUC